This 770-nucleotide ribosomal RNA is filed under the name Pseudomonas putida. RNAcentral describes it as "bacterial SSU rRNA". It matches the Rfam family "Bacterial small subunit ribosomal RNA", at positions 20 to 785 of the family's 1533-position model. The record is from RNAcentral. Lineage: Bacteria; Pseudomonadati; Pseudomonadota; Gammaproteobacteria; Pseudomonadales; Pseudomonadaceae.
UGGCUCAGAUUGAACGCUGGCGGCAGGCCUAACACAUGCAAGUCGAGCGGAUGACGGGAGCUUGCUCCUUGAUUCAGCGGCGGACGGGUGAGUAAUGCCUAGGAAUCUGCCUGGUAGUGGGGGACAACGUUUCGAAAGGAACGCUAAUACCGCAUACGUCCUACGGGAGAAAGCAGGGGACCUUCGGGCCUUGCGCUAUCAGAUGAGCCUAGGUCGGAUUAGCUAGUUGGUGGGGUAAUGGCUCACCAAGGCGACGAUCCGUAACUGGUCUGAGAGGAUGAUCAGUCACACUGGAACUGAGACACGGUCCAGACUCCUACGGGAGGCAGCAGUGGGGAAUAUUGGACAAUGGGCGAAAGCCUGAUCCAGCCAUGCCGCGUGUGUGAAGAAGGUCUUCGGAUUGUAAAGCACUUUAAGUUGGGAGGAAGGGCAGUAAGUUAAUACCUUGCUGUUUUGACGUUACCGACAGAAUAAGCACCGGCUAACUCUGUGCCAGCAGCCGCGGUAAUACAGAGGGUGCAAGCGUUAAUCGGAAUUACUGGGCGUAAAGCGCGCGUAGGUGGUUUGUUAAGUUGGAUGUGAAAGCCCCGGGCUCAACCUGGGAACUGCAUCCAAAACUGGCAAGCUAGAGUACGGUAGAGGGUGGUGGAAUUUCCUGUGUAGCGGUGAAAUGCGUAGAUAUAGGAAGGAACACCAGUGGCGAAGGCGACCACCUGGACUGAUACUGACACUGAGGUGCGAAAGCGUGGGGAGCAAACAGGAUUAGAUAU